GGAAUAUUGGACAAUGGGCGCAAGCCUGAUCCAGCCAUGCCGCGUGCAGGAUGACGGUCCUAUGGAUUGUAAACUGCUUUUGCACAGGAAGAAACAACUCUACGUGUAGAGUCUUGACGGUACUGUGAGAAUAAGGAUCGGCUAACUCCGUGCCAGCAGCCGCGGUAAUACGGAGGAUCCAAGCGUUAUCCGGAAUCAUUGGGUUUAAAGGGUCCGUAGGCGGUCUUAUAAGUCAGUGGUGAAAUCUCCCCGCUCAACGGGGAAACGGCCAUUGAUACUGUAGGACUUGAAUUAUUAGGAAGUAACUAGAAUAUGUAGUGUAGCGGUGAAAUGCUUAGAGAUUACAUGGAAUACCAAUUGCGAAGGCAGGUUACUACUAAUGGAUUGACGCUGAUGGACGAAAGCGUGGGUAGCGAACAGGAUUAGAUACCCCAG
RNAcentral lists this ribosomal RNA (435 nucleotides) under uncultured Flavobacterium sp. Its description in RNAcentral is "bacterial SSU rRNA". It matches the Rfam family "Bacterial small subunit ribosomal RNA", at positions 358 to 790 of the family's 1533-position model. The record is from RNAcentral. Lineage: Bacteria; Pseudomonadati; Bacteroidota; Flavobacteriia; Flavobacteriales; Flavobacteriaceae.